ACAUUGUUUAACAAAGAAAGUUUGAGGUGAGUUAAUAAUUUUUUCUUGAAAGAUGGUCUCCUUAACUCUUGUUCCAUGGUAACAUUCUCUUUUCAUUUUUUUAAUCCUUUAUUUUCUCCAGACUUUACAGAGUUUUUGAGUUGUUGCUGAUCUUUGAAUACCUCCUCAAGUGAUAGUAGUGCAAGAAUAAAAUUCUAACCACUCAUGCUAAAGGAAUAAUGAUUUUUAUAGCCAUCAUAAGUUGCACACUUAUCAUACUGCCAGGGUCUU
Molecule: long non-coding RNA, 270 nt
Filed under: Carica papaya (papaya)
Lineage: Eukaryota; Viridiplantae; Streptophyta; Magnoliopsida; Brassicales; Caricaceae
Description: long non-coding RNA (CPAP_LNC006009)
Source: RNAcentral